Molecule: non-coding RNA, 1036 nt
Organism: Paramisgurnus dabryanus
Lineage: Eukaryota; Metazoa; Chordata; Actinopteri; Cypriniformes; Cobitidae
Source: RefSeq, a predicted model, not a curated record
UACAUACCUUUCUCAUCCCUGUGCGUGCUGUAACUCUGUCUGAUGCAGCCCCCGCUAGCUUAGCUUAGCACAAAGACUGGAAGUGAAUGGCUCCAGCUAGCAUACUGCUUCCAAUAAGUGACAAAGUAACGUGGACAUUUUCCAAUUUAUGUGUUGUGAUUUGUAUAAAUUCACUACCAGUCUUUUGUUCUAAGCUUAGCUAGCAGGGGCUGCGUCAGACAGAGUUACAGCACACACGGAGAUGAGAAUGGUAUGUAUGGACUUAUCUAACUCUGUUUGUUUAUUUGUAAAUGUAAAAAAUGCAGCUAACCAUUCCCAGCUCCAGUGGGCAGGUUAAAGAGUAUUUCUUAAUAUGAGACAGAAAACAGAAACACAUUUUUAAUGGCAUUUAAAGACAACAUACCACUUCAUACAACUACAUUUUCUGUUUAAUCCAUAGAUUGAGUAAUUUUCACUCUAGAGACCCUGGGGUGACCACCAAGGACGAAUGCAAACUCCAGUGAGUGUCUCUAAGGUAGAUCCUAAUGCAGAUGGAUGGAAUGUUGAUCCGCCUAACAUGCAAGCUACAGAGGGCAUCCUUUAUUCAGUCCCUAAUGCAGAUGGUUGGAGUGUUGAUCUACCUAACAUGAGGGAGCACUCGUUUUGAGUCCUGAGACCCUGGGGUGACCACCGUGAACAAAUACAGAAGCACUCAAUUUGAGUCCUGAGACCCUGGGGUGACCACCGUGAACAAAUACAGACUGCAAUAGCAGUCUUGACGGUACUAGGAUGAAUGCAAAUAAAGACUAACCACCUGACUUCAGCGGUCCAGUCUCUUGUGGGAAGCAGUUGCUUGUUACCCCAAAUACGGAUGAAGAGUGACGAAGAGGAUGAUGACUUUUUGCUCAAACAUCUGCUGAAUUUCUUGACAGGCUGGAGACAAAAUUAACAGACUGAGGGUUUAUACAAAGAAUCUUACUCAGCCAAUAUUAAAGAUAAGAUAUUUUUACAAAAUGUUCUUUUCAUUGUUUAGGAUGAUUUUAUGUAGAAAACAGUA